This 289-nucleotide ribosomal RNA is filed under the name Thelotrema macrosporum. RNAcentral describes it as "partial large subunit ribosomal RNA". It matches the Rfam family "Eukaryotic large subunit ribosomal RNA", at positions 114 to 400 of the family's 3401-position model. The record is from RNAcentral. Lineage: Eukaryota; Fungi; Ascomycota; Lecanoromycetes; Ostropales; Graphidaceae.
AACAAACCCCGCCUAACCCCCUUUGGGUCUGAGUUGUAUUUGUAGAAGGUGCUUCGGAUUUGAUGGUGGUACAAGUCCUUUGGAAAGGGCGUCAUAGAGGGUGUCAACCCCGUAUUGGCCAAUAAUGGGUCCAUGUGAAGCCCUUUCGACGAGUCGAGUUGUUUGGGAAUGCAGCUUAAAAUGGGUGGUAGACUUCAUCUAAAGAAAGAAGUCAGCCAGAGACCGAUAGCGCACAAGUACAGUGUUUGAAAGAUGAAUAGCACUUUUAAAGGAGAGCGUUUCUGCACUU